GCCGCUAUCGUCUAGUGGUUAGGACAUCAGGUUCUCAUCCUGGUAACCGGGGUUCGAUUCCCCGUGGCGGUACCA
Molecule: transfer RNA, 75 nt
Filed under: Parcubacteria group bacterium CG2_30_48_51
Lineage: Bacteria
Also listed under: 6 other names
Description: tRNA-Glu
Rfam family: tRNA
About the family: Transfer RNA (tRNA) molecules are approximately 80 nucleotides in length. Their secondary structure includes four short double-helical elements and three loops (D, anti-codon, and T loops).
Source: RNAcentral